Molecule: ribosomal RNA, 321 nt
Filed under: uncultured bacterium
Lineage: Bacteria
Description: bacterial SSU rRNA
Rfam family: Bacterial small subunit ribosomal RNA
Source: RNAcentral
GGGGGACUCGCAAGAGCCUCGCGCGAUUGGAGCGGCCGAUAUACAGAUUAGGUAGUUGGUGAGGUAAAGGCUCACCAAGCCGACGAUCUGUAGCUGGUCUGAGAGGACGACCAGCCACACUGGAACUGAGACACGGUCCAGACUCCUACGGGAGGCAGCAGUGGGGAAUUUUUGGACAAUGGGGCAACCUGAUCCAGCAAUGCCGCGUGAGUGAAGAAGGCCUUCGGGUUGUAAAGCUCUUUUUGUCAGGGAAGAAACGGUGAGUUCUAAUAAAGCUUGCUAAUGACGGUACCUGAAGAAUAAGCACCGGCUAACUACGUG